Molecule: ribosomal RNA, 274 nt
Filed under: uncultured prokaryote
Description: partial 16S ribosomal RNA
Rfam family: Bacterial small subunit ribosomal RNA
Source: RNAcentral
UACGUAGGGGGCUAGCGUUAUCCGGAAUUACUGGGCGUAAAGGGUGCGUAGGUGGUUUCUUAAGUCAGAGGUGAAAGGCUACGGCUCAACCGUAGUAAGCCUUUGAAACUGAGAAACUUGAGUGCAGGAGAGGAGAGUAGAAUUCCUAGUGUAGCGGUGAAAUGCGUAGAUAUUAGGAGGAAUACCAGUUGCGAAGGCGGCUCUCUGGACUGUAACUGACACUGAGGCACGAAAGCGUGGGGAGCAAACAGGAUUAGAUACCAUGGUAGUCCCU